RNAcentral lists this ribosomal RNA (468 nucleotides) under bacterium 2611-S6-01-1.2. RNAcentral's name for it is "bacterial SSU rRNA". It matches the Rfam family "Bacterial small subunit ribosomal RNA", at positions 64 to 517 of the family's 1533-position model. The record is from RNAcentral.
GAACGAGUUAUCUGAACCUUCGGGGAACGAUAACGGCGUCGAGCGGCGGACGGGUGAGUAAUGCCUAGGAAAUUGCCCUGAUGUGGGGGAUAACCAUUGGAAACGAUGGCUAAUACCGCAUAACACCUUCGGGUCAAAGAGGGGGACCUUCGGGCCUCUCGCGUCAGGAUAUGCCUAGGUGGGAUUAGCUAGUUGGUGAGGUAAUGGCUCACCAAGGCGACGAUCCCUAGCUGGUCUGAGAGGAUGAUCAGCCACACUGGAACUGAGACACGGUCCAGACUCCUACGGGAGGCAGCAGUGGGGAAUAUUGCACAAUGGGCGCAAGCCUGAUGCAGCCAUGCCGCGUGUGUGAAGAAGGCCUUCGGGUUGUAAAGCACUUUCAGUCGUGAGGAAGGUAGUGUAGUUAAUAGCUGUAUCAUUUGACGUUAGCGACAGAAGAAGCACCGGCUAACUCCGUGCCAGCAGCCG